UUUUUCUUCCUGCAUGUAAAUAUAACUUUCGUACGCUUUGGGUAGCUAAUUUCCAAUACAUUGUUGUAUAUGUGUAUAGACUCUGUGAUACACGUUUUAGGGAUAGGAAGCUUGCUGGCAAGUGUCUAGUGUGUAACAUUAACUAUGAUAUGAAACUUUGAGUCAUUCAACUGCUUUCCAGUUACUGUAGUUACCCAGAAUGCUAUCGUUCAAUCAAUUAUUGUGGCUAUUUUGUAGCCUAGCUUUUAUUUUACUAUCACAAUGCACCUAUGCAAAAUACUUAAAAAGCUCAUGUAAUACCUGCAAACAGAUAGCUGAUAACUUCAGUAAGGGAUUGGACCGAACAAAAAAGCAGAACUUUGGUGGAGGAAACACCGCUUGGGAGGAGAGGGCACUUUCCAAAUAUGAGACCAGUGAGAUCCGCCUAGUUGAGAUUCUGGAGAAUCUGUGUGACAGCAGCAGCUUUGACUGUAACCACAUGGUAGAGGAGCACGAGGACCACUUUGAGACCUGGUGGUUCAAGAGGCAAAAUAAGCAUCCUGAUCUGUAUAAGUGGUUUUGCGUUGAUACCAUCAAGGUGUGCUGUUCGACGGGAACAUUUGGCCCUGAUUGUAAUGCCUGUGUGGCGGGUUCUGAGAGGCCUUGCCAUGGCAACGGCGUGUGUGACGGUGAUGGAACACGAGGGGGUAACGGCAGGUGCAACUGUGACCAUGGUUACAAGGGGGAGUUCUGUCUGGACUGCAUGGACGGAUACUUCAAUGAAAUUAGGAACGACACGUUUUCACUAUGCACAGGCUUGGUGUCUUUGGAGCAGGGCAUGCAUCUCAACCACCUUUCCCACUCCAUUCCCUACACUACAGAGUGCCACACCUCCUGCAAGACCUGCACUGGUCUAACCAAUGAGGACUGUGAGAAGUGCAAGACUGGCUGGGGGGAGGAUGAUGAGGGGACCUGUCUUGAUGUGAACGAGUGCUUGAACGACCCUACUCUCUGCAAAGAGGAUCAGUACUGUCUGAACACGGAUGGCUCGUUCUCCUGUAAAGGCUGUGAUGAGUUGUGUUCAGGCUGUACUGGGGCAGGGCCUGAUAAGUGCCAGAGCUGUGCUCCUGGGUACCAGGACACAGAGGGCACCUGCACAGACAGUGCCGAAAAUGUGAUUGUCGAUCUGUUCAGAUGUGAACGAGUGUGAGCAGACUGAUGCUGUGUGUACUGCGGAGAACCAGGAGUGUUUAAACAACAAAGGAAGCUACAUCUGUAUCUGUGCCAGCAGGUACAAGGAACAGGAGGGAGUCUGUGUAAAAAUACCAGAGCCAGAGGAGAAUGAGGCAGAAAUAGUGAAACGUCCAGAAGAGCACGAAGACCUUUGACCUCAGGAAAUGAACUAAUAGGAACAAACCAGGAAGAGCAUUUGGAGUAAAUUAUGAGGUGGGUGUCACCCGUGAGACAUCAGAAUAUAUUAAGGCCACUCCCUUUAAAAGCAUUGCGACUACAUGGCAGUUGAUCACUCGACAUGCAUACUGCACUCUUUACAGAUUUAUACCUGUCGAUCAUGGAUGGACAGCCAACAGAAUGGCUUAGAAAAUUAAAGAUUCAACCCCCAAGUA
Molecule: RNA transcript, 1604 nt
Organism: Oncorhynchus tshawytscha (Chinook salmon)
Lineage: Eukaryota; Metazoa; Chordata; Actinopteri; Salmoniformes; Salmonidae
Gene name: cysteine-rich with EGF-like domain protein 2
Exons: 10
Source: RefSeq, a predicted model, not a curated record